AUUGAACGCUGGCGGAAUGCUUUACACAUGCAAGUCGAACGGCAGCACGGACUUCGGUCUGGUGGCGAGUGGCGAACGGGUGAGUAAUGUAUCGGAACGUGCCCAGUCGUGGGGGAUAACGUAGUGAAAAUUACGCUAAUACCGCAUACGAUCUAUGGAUGAGAGCGGGGGAUCGCAAGACCUCGCGCGAUUGGAGCGGCCGAUAUCAGAUUAGGUAGUUGGGGGGGUAAAGGCCCACCAAGCCAACGAACUGCAGCUGGUCUGAGAGGACGACCAGCCACACUGGAACGGAGACACGGUCCAGACUCCUACGGGAGGCAGCAGUGGGGAAUUUUGGACAAUGGGCGAAAGCCUGAUUCAGCCAUUCCGCGUGCAGGAUGAAGGCCCUCGGGUUGUAAACUGCUUUUGUACAGAACGAAAAGGUUUCUACUAAUACUAGGAGCUCAUGACGGUACUGUAAGAAUAAGCACCGGCUAACUACGUGCCAGCCGCCGCGGUAA
This 500-nucleotide ribosomal RNA is filed under the name uncultured bacterium. RNAcentral describes it as "partial 16S ribosomal RNA". It matches the Rfam family "Bacterial small subunit ribosomal RNA", at positions 30 to 523 of the family's 1533-position model. The record is from RNAcentral.